This 253-nucleotide ribosomal RNA is filed under the name uncultured bacterium. RNAcentral describes it as "partial 16S ribosomal RNA". It matches the Rfam family "Bacterial small subunit ribosomal RNA", at positions 524 to 776 of the family's 1533-position model. The record is from RNAcentral.
UACGAACUGUGCAAACGUUAUUCGGAAUCACUGGGCUUAAAGGGUGCGUAGGCGGCUGUCUAAGUAGGGUGUGAAAGCCCCCGGCUCAACUGGGGAAUUGCGCCCUAAACUGGAUGGCUGGAGUGAGACAGGGGUGUGUGGAACUUCCGGUGGAGCGGUGAAAUGUGUUGAUAUCGGAAGGAACGCCGGUGGCGAAAGCGACACACUGGGUCUCAACUGACGCUGAGGCACGAAAGCCAGGGGAGCAAACGGG